GUCCCGUAGUUCAACGGAUAGAAUAGAAGUUUCCUAAACUUUAGAUAUGAGUUCGAUUCUCGUCGGGACCACACCA
RNAcentral lists this transfer RNA (76 nucleotides) under Sphingobacteriaceae bacterium GW460-11-11-14-LB5. RNAcentral describes it as "tRNA-Arg". It matches the Rfam family "tRNA". Rfam says of the family: Transfer RNA (tRNA) molecules are approximately 80 nucleotides in length. Their secondary structure includes four short double-helical elements and three loops (D, anti-codon, and T loops). The record is from RNAcentral. Lineage: Bacteria; Pseudomonadati; Bacteroidota; Sphingobacteriia; Sphingobacteriales; Sphingobacteriaceae.